AGGGUUUGAUCCUGGCUCAGAACGAACGCUGGCGGCGUGGCUAAGACAUGCAAGUCGAGCGAGAAGUCUUCCUUCGGGAAGGCGGAAAGCGGCGAAAGGGUGAGUAAUGCAUGGGUAACGUACCCCCGGCUCCGGGAUAGUGUCGUCUGUUUACAGACUUCCGAAAGGGGCAGUAAUACCGGAUAACAUCUCCCCGUCACCUGACGGGAAGAUCAAAGGUCCGCCGGCUGGGGAGCGGCCCAUGUCGUAUCAGCUAGUUGGUGGGGUAACGGCCUACCAAGGCUUCGACGCGUAGCGGGACUGAGAGGUUGGCCCGCCACAUCGGGACUGAGACACUGCCCGGACACCUACGGGUGGCUGCAGUAACGAAUAUUCCGCAAUGGGCGAAAGCCUGACGGAGCGACGCCGCGUGCAGGAGGAAGUCCCUCGGGAUGUAAACUGCUGUCAGGGGCUAGGAAGGUAUGACCAGCCCCAGAGGAAGUCUUGGCUAACUCCGUGCCAGCAGCCGCGGUAAUACGGAGAAGGCGAGCGUUGUUCGGAAUCACUGGGCUUAAAGCGCGUGUAGGCGGGCCUGUUAGUCGGGUGUGAAAUCCCUCGGCUCAACCGGGGAACUGCACCCGAAACUGCAGGUCUUGAGUCAAUCAGGGGUCGAUGGAACUCCAGGUGGAGCGGUGAAAUGCGUAGAUAUCUGGAGGAACGCCAGUGGCGAAAGCGGUCGACUGGGAUUGUACUGACGCUGAGACGCGAAAGCGUGGGGAGCGAACGGGAUUAGAUACCCCGGUAGUCCACGCCGUAAACGAUGCACACUAGGCUGAGGGAGUUCUGACGCUUUCUCGGCCGUAGCAAAAGCGUUAAGUGUGCCGCCUGGGGAGUACGGUCGCAAGGCUAAAACUCAAAGGAAUUGACGGGGGCUCACACAAGCGGUGGAGCAUGUGGAUUAAUUCGAAGCAACGCGAAGGACCUUACCUGGGUUUGACAUGCACGGAUGAAACCUGUGAAAGCAGGGGACUGCCCUUUGGGUGAAACGUGCACAGGUGCUGCAUGGCUGUCGUCAGCUCGUGCUGUGAAGUGUCGGGUUAAGUCCCUUAACGAGCGAAACCCUUGUCGCUAGUUGCCAGCGGGUCAUGCCGGGGACUCUAGCGAGACUGCCGGUGUUAAACCGGAGGAAGGUGGGGAUGACGUCAAGUCCUCAUGGCCUUUAUACCCAGGGCCUCACACGUGCUACAAUGGCCGGUACAGAGUGACGCAAGACCGCGAGGUGGAGCAAAUCACGAAAACCGGUCCCAGUUCGGAUUGCAGGCUGCAACUCGCCUGCAUGAAGUCGGAAUCGCUAGUAAUCGCGUAUCAGCUAUGACGCGGUGAAUAUGUUCCUGAGCCUUGUACACACCGCCCGUCAAGUCAUGGAAGCUGGGAGUACCCGAAGUCGGCCCGUCAGAAGGCUGCCGAAGGUAAGCUCGGUGACUGGGACUAAGUCGUAACAAGGUA
Molecule: ribosomal RNA, 1485 nt
Filed under: metagenome
Description: bacterial SSU rRNA
Rfam family: Bacterial small subunit ribosomal RNA
Source: RNAcentral